RNAcentral lists this ribosomal RNA (272 nucleotides) under Escherichia coli. RNAcentral's name for it is "partial 16S ribosomal RNA". It matches the Rfam family "Bacterial small subunit ribosomal RNA", at positions 1 to 269 of the family's 1533-position model. Lineage: Bacteria; Pseudomonadati; Pseudomonadota; Gammaproteobacteria; Enterobacterales; Enterobacteriaceae. The record is from RNAcentral.
AAAUUGAAGAGUUUGAUCAUGGCUCAGAUUGAACGCUGGCGGCAGGCCUAACACAUGCAAGUCGAACGGUAACAAGAAGAAGCUUGCUUCUUUGCUGACGAGUGGCGGACGGGUGAGUAAUGUCUGGGAAACUGCCUGAUGGAGGGGGAUAACUACUGGAAACGGUAGCUAAUACCGCAUAACGUCGCAAGACCAAAGAGGGGGACCUUCGGGCCUCUUGCCAUCGGAUGUGCCCAGAUGGGAUUAGCUUGUUGGUGGGGUAACGGCUCACC